CCUACGGGGGGCUGCAGUGGGGAAUAUUGGACAAUGGGCGAAAGCCUGAUCCAGCCAUGCCGCGUGUGUGAAGAAGGCCUUCGGGUUGUAAAGCACUUUCAGUGGGGAAGAAAGCCUUGGGACUAAUACCCUCGAGGAAGGACAUCACCCACAGAAGAAGCACCGGCUAACUCCGUGCCAGCAGCCGCGGUAAUACGGAGGGUGCGAGCGUUAAUCGGAAUUACUGGGCGUAAAGCGCGCGUAGGCGGUCUGAUAAGCCGGUUGUGAAAGCCCCGGGCUCAACCUGGGAACGGCAUCCGGAACUGUCAGGCUAGAGUGCAGGAGAGGAAGGUAGAAUUCCCGGUGUAGCGGUGAAAUGCGUAGAGAUCGGGAGGAAUACCAGUGGCGAAGGCGGCCUUCUGGACUGACACUGACGCUGAGGUGCGAAAGCGUGGGUAGCAAACAGGAUUAGAUACCCGAGUAGUC
Molecule: ribosomal RNA, 465 nt
Filed under: Vreelandella stevensii
Lineage: Bacteria; Pseudomonadati; Pseudomonadota; Gammaproteobacteria; Oceanospirillales; Halomonadaceae
Description: partial 16S ribosomal RNA
Rfam family: Bacterial small subunit ribosomal RNA
Source: RNAcentral